RNAcentral lists this ribosomal RNA (425 nucleotides) under Kopidoiulus continentalis. RNAcentral describes it as "partial 16S ribosomal RNA". It matches the Rfam family "Archaeal large subunit ribosomal RNA", at positions 1907 to 2592 of the family's 2987-position model. Lineage: Eukaryota; Metazoa; Arthropoda; Diplopoda; Julida; Mongoliulidae. The record is from RNAcentral.
AUGGUUCUCUGGGUUUUAUAGAGAAUCUGACCUGCCCAGUGAAGUAUUUAACGGCUGCAGUAUUUUGACUGUACAAAGGUAGCAUAAUCAUUAGCUUCUUAAUUAGGGGCUGGUAUGAAAGGUUAGACGGAGAUUAACUGUCUCUAUUGUAAUAGAUGAAUUUUAUGUUUUUGUAAAAAAUCAAAAAUUUAAUAAAGGGACGAGAAGACCCUGUUAAACUUUAGUUGAGUUUUAUUUAUAACUUAAAUAUUAUUAUUGAGUAGAUGAGAUUAACUUUUAUUGGGGCGAUUUAUGUUAAAACAAUAUAAAUUUUUAAAAUAUUGAUAAAAAGAGUAAGAACCUAUUAGUUUGAUAAUAGAAAAAGUUACUUAAGGGAUAACAGCGUAAUAAUUUUUAAUAGUUCUUAUUGACAAAAUUGUUUGCGA